This 376-nucleotide ribosomal RNA is filed under the name uncultured bacterium. RNAcentral describes it as "bacterial SSU rRNA". It matches the Rfam family "Bacterial small subunit ribosomal RNA", at positions 790 to 1167 of the family's 1533-position model. The record is from RNAcentral.
GUAGUCCACGCCCUAAACGAUGUCAACUAGUUGUCGGGUCUUUAUUGACUUGGUAACGCAGCUAACGCGUGAAGUUGACCGCCUGGGGAGUACGGUCGCAAGAUUAAAACUCAAAGGAAUUGACGGGGACCCGCACAAGCGGUGGAUGAUGUGGAUUAAUUCGAUGCAACGCGAAAAACCUUACCUACCCUUGACAUGGUCGGAAGCCCCGAGAGAUUGGGGCGUGCUCGAAAGAGAGCCGAUACACAGGUGCUGCAUGGCUGUCGUCAGCUCGUGUCGUGAGAUGUUGGGUUAAGUCCCGCAACGAGCGCAACCCUUGUCAUUAGUUGCUACAUUCAGAUGAGCACUCUAAUGAGACUGCCGGUGACAAACCGGA